This is a long non-coding RNA of Cyprinodon tularosa, 1108 nucleotides long. RefSeq lists it as uncharacterized. The record is from RefSeq and is a predicted model, not a curated record. NCBI's taxonomy places the organism in Eukaryota, Metazoa, Chordata, Actinopteri, Cyprinodontiformes, Cyprinodontidae. The transcript has 3 exons.
CAGGCAUCCAACCAGAGAACAAAGAACAAGAGACCCCAGCAGGAAGCCGACUAGGCUCUAAACCUGCCAAGAUCACCCCGUUUAGAUACGAUGACAGACAGAUCUUUCAGCCAGUCCCAAAUCCCAAAACAGGAUCCCGCUUGCUGCACAUCCUAAAUGGACUUUUUGUUGGAACAGUAGCUGUUGUAGGAGCUGCUUUGGCAAGAACUCAAAGAGCAAGCAGGGGACAGUGCUGCCAUCGACUGAAUGCUGUUAUGCCUGAAAACACAAUGAGGCCUAUUGAGAGACCCAUGAAGAAAUAUCCCACGCCCACAGAGUCAAGAAGACACACAGGCCCAUCCAGCACAAGAACAAAAGGCAGUGCUUACACUGUAGUAAAAAUCAACAACAAAGGAAUCAACAUACCUGUGCAGAAUUGGAAACAUACUCAUGAUUUUUUUUUCUUAUUCAUUCUCUAAACAAUGUUUUUUGCAAGAUUCAUCCAGUUCAAUUUCAGAAAAUGCUAAAAACCAAAUUAGAAACUUAGUCCAACGGGCUGCGAAAAAUUAUUUGCUGCCUCAUAGAUUUGUUUUGUUUUUGUUCUAAAUGAAAAGUUUAAGUUUAUAAAAUAGAUUUAAUAUAAAAAGCUUGCAAGAGCAUGUUGCAAUUAAUGUUUCGGUGAUCUGAGCACAUUUCGAGUUCUGUGCCAGGGGCUUCCCUGGACCCGCCGAGGAAGGCAGAGCCAGCAGAGAAAUUAGAAGCAGACAUAGAGGCCUCAACAGGUCCAACACGGCAAACAGCACUGCAGAACAUUCAGGGUUACUCGCUGCAAGUUGUCUAACAAGCCUGUAGAACGGAUCGAUUCUUUUACAUGACUGUUAAAGUCUGCAUUCAGCCUCUGUCUGUUCAUGUUAUCCCAAACAUUAGAGGCUCCUGUUGAUUGCUGACAAUUAUUUACUCUCACACCUUUCAGAAUAGGACAUAAAUCUGUAUUCAAACAACUAAUUAAUUAAGUUAUUUUAAAAUCAGGACAAUUAUGUCACACUUUUCUGUACUUAACUGUACAGGUGCAUCACAUAACAAAGUAGCAAGUCCUAGUUUAUGCCUUAAUGCCUGGAAAGGUCUUUGU